RNAcentral lists this ribosomal RNA (857 nucleotides) under SAR202 cluster bacterium. Its description in RNAcentral is "partial 23S ribosomal RNA". It matches the Rfam family "Bacterial large subunit ribosomal RNA", at positions 1 to 815 of the family's 2925-position model. Lineage: Bacteria; Bacillati; Chloroflexota; Dehalococcoidia. The record is from RNAcentral.
GGUCAAGUUAUUAAGGGCUUACGGUGGAUGCCUUGGGACCAAGAGCCGAUGAAGGGCGCGGCAAGGCUGCGUUAAGCCUCGAUGAGCCGUCUAGCGGGCAUAGUCGGGGAUACCCGAAUGGGGAAACCUUAUCCGGUGUUGAGUCGGAUAAUCCUUCCUGUAAAGGGAGGAGGGCAAGUGGGGGAACUGAAACAUCUAAGUACCCCGAGGAAAAUAAAUCAACCGAGAUUCCCUUAGUAGUGGCGAACGAACGGGGAUCAGCCUAAACCAGUAUGACUUAGUGGCAUAAGGGCCUAUGUUGUAUUGGGGUUGCAGGGAUUGCCUAGGGCCCCCUUAUGAGGCCCAAAGGAGUUACAAAUCUUAUUUCUAGUCGAAGGAUCCUGGGAAGGACCGCCAUAGAGGGUGACAGCCCCGUAGGCGAAAGGGAUAAGACUCCUGGCGUAUUACCUAAGUACCACGGGGCACGGGAAACCUUGUGGGAAUCUGGGGGGACCACCCUCCAAGGCUAAAUACCCUUGGUCACCGAUAGCGUACCAGUACCGUGAGGGAAAGGUGAAAAGAACCCCUAGCGGGGAGUGAAAUAGAUCUGAAACCGUAAGCCUACAGAAGGUCGUAGUCCCGACUUUGUCGGGAUGGCGGCGUGCCUAUUGAAGAAUGAUCCUGGGACUUACUGUAUGGAGCAAGGUUAAGGAACUGUAGUUCCGGAGCCGAAGCGAAAGCGAGUCUGAAUAGGGCGCCAAGUUCCAUGUAGUAGACUCGAAACCGGGUGAGCUACCCAUGGCCAGGUUGAAGGUCCGGUAAAACGGACUGGAGGACCGAACUCGUGGCUAGUACAAAAGCUUGGGAUGAGCUGUGGG